RNAcentral lists this ribosomal RNA (756 nucleotides) under uncultured bacterium. Its description in RNAcentral is "bacterial SSU rRNA". It matches the Rfam family "Bacterial small subunit ribosomal RNA", at positions 8 to 760 of the family's 1533-position model. The record is from RNAcentral.
AGAGUUUGAUCAUGGCUCAGAUUGAACGCUGGCGGCAUGCCUUACACAUGCAAGUCGAACGGUAGCAGGCCGCAAGGUGCUGACGAGUGGCGAACGGGUGAGUAAUACAUCGGAACGUGCCCGAUCGUGGGGGAUAACGCAGCGAAAGCUGUGCUAAUACCGCAUACGAUCUACGGAUGAAAGCGGGGGAUCGCAAGACCUCGCGCGGACGGAGCGGCCGAUGGCAGAUUAGGUAGUUGGUGGGGUAAAGGCCUACCAAGCCGACGAUCUGUAGCUGGUCUGAGAGGACGACCAGCCACACUGGGACUGAGACACGGCCCAGACUCCUACGGGAGGCAGCAGUGGGGAAUUUUGGACAAUGGGCGCAAGCCUAAUCCAGCCAUGGCCGCGUGCAGGAUGAAGGCCUUCGGGUUGUAAACUGCUUUUGUACGGAACGAAAAGGUUUCUUUUAAUACAGGGAACUGAUGACGGUACCGUAAGAAUAAGCACCGGCUAACUACGUGCCAGCAGCCGCGGUAAUACGUAGGGUGCGAGCGUUAAUCGGAAUUACUGGGCGUAAAGCGUGCGCAGGCGGUGAUGUAAGACAGAGGUGAAAUCCCCGGGCUCAACCUGGGAACUGCCUUUGUGACUGCAUCGCUGGAGUGCGGCAGAGGGGGAUGGAAUUCCGCGUGUAGCAGUGAAAUGCGUAGAUAUGCGGAGGAACACCGAUGGCGAAGGCAAUCCCCUGGGCCUGCACUGACGCUCAUGCACGAAAGC